GGGGGGGGGGGGGCAAGCGUUGUUCGGAUUUACUGGGCGUAAAGGGCUCGUAGGCGGGCCAUUUAAGUCGGUUGUGAAAUCCCUCGGGCUCAACCGAGGAACUGCGGCCGAUACUGGGUGGCUUGAAGCCGGGAGAGGGAUGCGGAAUUCCAGGUGUAGCGGUGAAAUGCGUAGAUAUCUGGAGGAACACCCGUGGCGAAGGCGGCAUCCUGGACCGGUCUUGACGCUGAGGAGCGAAAGCUAGGGUAGCAAACGGGAUUAGAUACCCCGGUAGUCCUAGCCCUAAACGAUGAAUGCUUGGUGUGGCGGGUAUCGAUCCCUGCCGUGCCGUAGCUAACGCGUUAAGCAUUCCGCCUGGGGAGUACGGUCGCAAAGGCUG
This 379-nucleotide ribosomal RNA is filed under the name uncultured organism. RNAcentral describes it as "partial 16S ribosomal RNA". It matches the Rfam family "Bacterial small subunit ribosomal RNA", at positions 522 to 896 of the family's 1533-position model. The record is from RNAcentral.